Molecule: small RNA, 126 nt
Filed under: Salmonella enterica subsp. enterica
Lineage: Bacteria; Pseudomonadati; Pseudomonadota; Gammaproteobacteria; Enterobacterales; Enterobacteriaceae
Description: RtT sRNA
Rfam family: RtT RNA
About the family: This family represents a bacterial cis-regulatory element known as RtT RNA.
Source: RNAcentral
UUGCCAUCUGCGAUAUGGAAGAUUCGAACCUGCCGCAGAUUCGGGACUCACGCAGUGAGACAACGGAGCCGCUUGCGGCGACGGCCCGAAGGGCGAGCAAAGCGAGUCAUCCUGCACGACCCACCA